Non-coding RNA from Manis javanica (Malayan pangolin), 859 nucleotides. NCBI's taxonomy places the organism in Eukaryota, Metazoa, Chordata, Mammalia, Pholidota, Manidae. The record is from RefSeq and is a predicted model, not a curated record.
AGGACCUGGGUUACCAAGCAGGCCACUGCAUAGUGAUGGGGAGGUGGGAGCGCUGCAAGGCCCCAGGAGCCGGGGUGCAGGGCAGCCAGGCUGUGUCGGUGAGGCGGCAUGUGAGGGCAUGCCUGGAGAAUGGCUGGCAGUUGGCUGUAAACUUGGGGAAAUUCUAUUCUAUGCAGAGAGAAGCCAGAGAGGACAUACCAGCAGGUCAGUAUGGCUCAGAGUCAAGUGUGAAUAAGAAGGGCUGAGAGUGGAGGCCGGAGAGAGGUGCCGAGAGAGGCGAGGGGAGGCCCGCGCAGCACCCCCUACCCAGGAAAGGAGAGCUGCGAUACCAGAGCGAUGGGCAGCUGCUCAAGGGCCUUCAGCGGGGAGUGGUAUGUUGAGUAGCUGAUGGUGGAAAUAUUUACUUCUAGUUAUGUAACAGGGAAAAUGCAAAAGGAGGCUUGCUCCCACCCCAGGUCACAUGCAAAGCGUGCACUGAGGAAGAGGCCCAGAGUCCUGCCCAAGGCCUGCAGAGGGCAGGGUGGGCCUAUGCUGCAGGAGAUGGAGCAGGCUGUGCACAGAGAGGGGAGUAGCCUGUCUUUGGUGCCUCCAGCUGCUGGGGACCCAGCCAGUGAGAGCCUGCUGGCCCCAGUGACCUUCACAUGACAACAGGAGAAGCCUCGCCUCCUCACCUAUACUUUAAAGUGUCCUGUGCUUGAAUCCCUAUAUUGAGGAGUAGCAAUGUGUCCAGCUAAGAAACUACAUUUCCCAGGCUCAAUGCAUAGAUCUGUGACAUGAGGUGGCGGGGUAACCAUGUUUAAAACCAUUUUUAAAUUUUGGAAAAAACUGAACAGUAUUUUGUGAUACAUGAAAAAACUCA